UGAGGAACAUGACCUUCGGCGGGGGAGUAGCCGGCCCAACGGCCGGGUAAUACCGCGUACGACCACAUGGGGACAUCCCUGAGUGGUGAAAGCAGCAAUGCGCCGAUGGAGUGCCUCGCGGCCUAUCAGCUAGUUGGUGAGGUAACGGCUCACCAAGGCGACGACGGGUAGCUGGUCUGAGAGGAUGGCCAGCCACAUUGGGACUGAGACACGGCCCAGACCUGUACCGGGGAG
RNAcentral lists this ribosomal RNA (234 nucleotides) under uncultured bacterium. RNAcentral describes it as "partial 16S ribosomal RNA". It matches the Rfam family "Bacterial small subunit ribosomal RNA", at positions 118 to 347 of the family's 1533-position model. The record is from RNAcentral.